This 1399-nucleotide ribosomal RNA is filed under the name uncultured bacterium. RNAcentral's name for it is "bacterial SSU rRNA". It matches the Rfam family "Bacterial small subunit ribosomal RNA". The record is from RNAcentral.
AGAGUUUGAUCCUGGCUCAGGAUGAACGCUGGCGGCAUGCCUAAUACAUGCAAGUCGAACGAGAGACCUUCGGGUCUCUAGUGGCGAACGGGUGAGUAACACGUAGGGAACCUGCCCGCGCACCGGGAAUACGCUCUGGAAACGGAGAACAAAUCCCGAUGUACAGGAAGGAGGCAUCUUCUUUCUGUGAAACAUCCUUUCGGGGAUGGGGCGCGGAUGGACCUGCGGUGCAUUAGUUUGUUGGCGGGGUAAAGGCCCACCAAGACGAUGAUGCAUAGCCGGCCUGAGAGGGCGGACGGCCACAUUGGGACUGAGACACGGCCCAGACUCCUGCGGGAGGCAGCAGUAGGGAAUUUUCGUCAAUGGGCGCAAGCCUGAACGAGCGAUGCCGCGUGAGUGAAGAAGGCCUUCGGGUCGUAAAGCUCUGUUGCGGGGGAAAAAAGGCAGCAUCAGGAAAUGGGUGCUGACUGAUGGUGCCCCGCCAGAAAGUCACGGCUAACUACGUGCCAGCAGCCGCGGUAAUACGUAGGUGGCGAGCGUUAUCCGGAAUGAUUGGGCGUAAAGGGUGCGCAGGCGGUCCUGCAAGUCUGGAGUGAAACGCAUGAGCUCAACUCAUGCAUGGCUUUGGAAACUGGAGGACUGGAGAGCAGGAGAGGGCGGUGGAACUCCAUGUGUAGCGGUAAAAUGCGUAGAUAUAUGGAAGAAACCCAGUGGCGAAGGGCGGCCGCCUGGCCUGUUGCUGACGCUGAGGCACGAAAGGCGUGGGGAGCAAAUUAGAUUUAGAUACCUUAGUAGUCCACGCCCGUAAACGAUGAGGACCAAGUGCUGGGGGUGAAACCUCAGUGCUUGAAGUUAACGCAGUGAGUCUUCCGCCUGGGGAGUAUGCACGCAAGUGUGAAACUCAAAGGAAUUGACGGGGGCCCGCACAAGCGGUGGAGUAUGUGGUUUAAUUCGAAGCAACGCGAAGAACCUUACCAGGCCUUGACAUCCCGCCGGCCGGCGCGUAACGGCGCCUUCCCUUCGGGGCGGCGGAGACAGGUGGUGCAUGGUUGUCGUCAGCUCGUGUCGUGAGAUGUUGGGUUAAGUCCCGCAACGAGCGCAACCCCUGCCCUUAGUAGCCAGCGCAUAGAGGCGGGCACUCUAGGGGGACUGCCGGGGACAACCCGGAGGAAGGCGGGGAUGACGUCAAAUCAUCAUGCCCCUUACGGCCUGGGCUACACACGUGCUACAAUGGCGUAACAGAGGGAGGCGAGGCCGCGAGGCGGAGCGAACCCCAGAAACAACGUCCCAGUUCGGACUGCAGCCUGCAACUCGGCUGCACGAAGCUGGAAUCGCUAGUAAUCGCGGAUCAGAACGCCGCGGUGAAUGCGUACCCGGGUCUUGCACACACCGCCCGUCA